AUUAGAUAGUUGGUAGGGUAACGGCCUACCAAGUCAACGAUCGGUAGCCGACCUGAGAGGGUGAUCGGCCACAUUGGAACUGAGAACGGUCCAAACUCCUACGGGAGGCAGCAGUGGGGAAUCUUGGGCAAUGGGGGGAACCCUGACCCAGCGACGCCGCGUGAGGGUAGAAGGUUUUCGGAUUGUAAACCUCUGUUCUUGGUGAAGAGAGAAAGACGGUAGCCAAGGAGGAAGCCCCGGCUAACUACGUGCCAGCAGCCGCGGUAAUACGUAGGGGGCGAGCGUUGUCCGGAAUGAUUGGGCGUAAAGGGCGCGUAGGCGGCGACAUAAGUCUGAAGUGAAAGUCCUAAAUUCAAGUUAGGAAUUGCUUUGGAAACUAUAUUGCUUGAGUGCAGGAGAGGUCAUCGGAAUUCCCGGUGUAGCGGUGAAAUGCGUAGAGAUCGGGAGGAACACCAGUGGCGAAGGCGGGUGGCUGGACUGUAACUGACGCUGAUGCGCGAAAGUGUGGGGAGCAAACAGGAUUAGAUACCCUGGUAGUCCACACCGUAAACGAUGAAUGCUAGGUGUAGGUGGUAUCGACCCCAUCUGUGCCGUCGCAAACGCAAUAA
Molecule: ribosomal RNA, 608 nt
Filed under: uncultured bacterium
Lineage: Bacteria
Description: bacterial SSU rRNA
Rfam family: Bacterial small subunit ribosomal RNA
Source: RNAcentral